GACGAACGCUGGCGGCGUGCCUAAUACAUGCAAGUUGAGCGAUGAAGAUUGGUGCUUGCACCAAUUUGAAGAGCAGCGAACGGGUGAGUAACGCGUGGGGAAUCUGCCUUUGAGCGGGGGACAACAUUUGGAAACGAAUGCUAAUACCGCAUAACAACUUUAAACAUAAGUUUUAAGUUUGAAAGAUGCAAUUGCAUCACUCAAAGAUGAUCCCGCGUUGUAUUAGCUAGUUGGUGAGGUAAAGGCUCACCAAGGCGAUGAUACAUAGCCGACCUGAGAGGGUGAUCGGCCACAUUGGGACUGAGACACGGCCCAAACUCCUACGGGAGGCAGCAGUAGGGAAUCUUCGGCAAUGGACGAAAGUCUGACCGAGCAACGCCGCGUGAGUGAAGAAGGGUUUCGGAUCGUAAAACUCCGUUGGUAGAGAAGAACGUUGGUGAGAGUGGAAAGCUCAUCAAGUGACGGUAACUACCCAGAAAGGGACGGCUAACUACGUG
This 497-nucleotide ribosomal RNA is filed under the name uncultured bacterium. RNAcentral's name for it is "partial 16S ribosomal RNA". It matches the Rfam family "Bacterial small subunit ribosomal RNA", at positions 28 to 507 of the family's 1533-position model. The record is from RNAcentral.